RNAcentral lists this ribosomal RNA (253 nucleotides) under uncultured bacterium. RNAcentral's name for it is "partial 16S ribosomal RNA". It matches the Rfam family "Bacterial small subunit ribosomal RNA", at positions 524 to 776 of the family's 1533-position model. The record is from RNAcentral.
UACGGAGGGUGCGAGCGUUAAUCGGAAUUACUGGGCGUAAAGCGUGCGUAGGCGGUUUGGUCAGUCAGCCGUGAAAGCCCCGGGCUUAACCUGGGAACGGCGGUUGAGACGGCCAGACUUGAGUGGGCUAGAGGAUCGUGGAAUUCCCGGUGUAGCAGUGAAAUGCGUAGAGAUCGGGAGGAACACCGAUGGCGAAGGCAGCGAUCUGGGGCCACACUGACGCUGAGGCACGAAGGCGUGGGGAGCAAACAGG